This 253-nucleotide ribosomal RNA is filed under the name uncultured bacterium. RNAcentral's name for it is "partial 16S ribosomal RNA". It matches the Rfam family "Bacterial small subunit ribosomal RNA", at positions 524 to 776 of the family's 1533-position model. The record is from RNAcentral.
UACGAAGGGGACUAGCGUUGUUCGGAAUCACUGGGCGUAAAGCGCACGUAGGCGGAUGUGUCAGUCAGGGGUGAAAUCCCGGGGCUCAACCUCGGAACUGCCUUUGAUACAGCACGUCUCGAGUCCGGAAGAGGUGGGUGGAAUUCCUAGUGUAGAGGUGAAAUUCGUAGAUAUUAGGAAGAACACCAGUGGCGAAGGCGACUUACUGGACGAUUGUUGACGCUGAGGUGCGAAAGCGUGGGGAGCGAACAGG